This 501-nucleotide ribosomal RNA is filed under the name uncultured bacterium. RNAcentral's name for it is "partial 16S ribosomal RNA". It matches the Rfam family "Bacterial small subunit ribosomal RNA", at positions 30 to 523 of the family's 1533-position model. The record is from RNAcentral.
AUUGAACGCUGGCGGCAGGCUUAACACAUGCAAGUCGAGCGGAGAUGAGGUGCUUGCACCUUAUCUUAGCGGCGGACGGGUGAGUAAUGCUUAGGAAUCUGCCUAUUAGUGGGGGACAACAUUCCGAAAGGAAUGCUAAUACCGCAUACGUCCUACGGGAGAAAGCAGGGGAUCUUCGGACCUUGCGCUAAUAGAUGAGCCUAAGUCGGAUUAGCUAGUUGGUGGGGUAAAGGCCUACCAAGGCGACGAUCUGUAGCGGGUCUGAGAGGAUGUUCCGCCAGACUGGGACUGAGACACGGACCAGACUCCUACGGGAGGCAGCAGUGGGGAAUAUUGGACAAUGGGGGAAACCCUGAUCCAGCCAUGCCGCGGGUGUGAAGAAGGCCUUAUGGUUGUAAAGCACUUUAAGCGAGGAGGAGGCUACUGAGACUAAUACUCUUGGAUAGUGGACGUUACUCGCAGAAUAAGCACCGGCUAACUCUGUGCCAGCCGCCGCCGUAA